Molecule: transfer RNA, 73 nt
Filed under: Ophiophagus hannah (king cobra)
Lineage: Eukaryota; Metazoa; Chordata; Lepidosauria; Squamata; Elapidae
Rfam family: tRNA
About the family: Transfer RNA (tRNA) molecules are approximately 80 nucleotides in length. Their secondary structure includes four short double-helical elements and three loops (D, anti-codon, and T loops).
Source: Rfam by way of RNAcentral
GCCAGUUUGGUCUAGGGUUUAAGGCACCAGGCUAGAAAGCAGGAGACUGUGAGUUCAAGUCUCACUUUAGUCA